This 184-nucleotide ribosomal RNA is filed under the name uncultured bacterium. RNAcentral's name for it is "partial 16S ribosomal RNA". It matches the Rfam family "Bacterial small subunit ribosomal RNA", at positions 1317 to 1500 of the family's 1533-position model. The record is from RNAcentral.
UACAUGAAGCUGGAAUCGCUAGUAAUCGCGGAUCAGAAUGCCGCGGUGAAUACGUUCCCGGGUCUUGUACACACCGCCCGUCACACCAUGGGAGUCGGAAAUGCCCGAAGUCUGUGACCCAACCUUAGGGAGGGAGCAGCCGAAGGCAGGUCGGAUGACUGGGGUGAAGUCGUAACAAGGUACC